This 397-nucleotide ribosomal RNA is filed under the name uncultured bacterium. Its description in RNAcentral is "partial 16S ribosomal RNA". It matches the Rfam family "Bacterial small subunit ribosomal RNA", at positions 360 to 774 of the family's 1533-position model. The record is from RNAcentral.
AAUCUGGCGCAAUGGGCGAAAGCCUGACGCAGCCAUGCCGCGUGAUUGAUGAAAGUCUUAGGAUUGUAAAAUUCUUUCACCGGGGAAGAUAAUGACGGUACCCGGAGAAGAAGCCCCGGCUAACUUCGUGCCAGCAGCCGCGGUAAUACGAAGGGGGCUAGCGUUGCUCGGCAUUAUGGGGCGUAAAGGGAGCGUAGGCGGACAUUUAAGUCAGGGGUGAAAUCCCAGAGCUCAACUCUAGAACUGCCUUUGAUACUGGGUGUCUUGAGUGUGAGAGAGGUAUGUGGAACUCCGAGUGUAGAGGUGAAAUUCGUAGAUAUUCGGAAGAACACCAGUGGAGAAGGCGACAUACUGGCUCAUUACUGACACUGAGGCGCGAAAGCGUGGGGAGCAAACA